Molecule: ribosomal RNA, 599 nt
Filed under: Epizygaenella caschmirensis caschmirensis
Lineage: Eukaryota; Metazoa; Arthropoda; Insecta; Lepidoptera; Zygaenidae
Description: partial 12S ribosomal RNA
Source: RNAcentral
UGCGGUUACACAAAAAUUAAAUUGAAUUUUUUUAGGAUUUAAUAAAUAAAAAUAAAUUAUAAUUUAAAUUUUAAAUUAUAAAGUGAAAUUUUAAUUUAAUUAAAAAUUAUUUUUUUUUAUUAUAUUAAUAAAUUUUUUAAAAAACUAGGAUUAGAUACCCUAUUAUAAAAAUUUAAAUAAAAAAAUCUUUGAAUAGUAUAUAAUAUUUUAUAGAAACUUAAAUAAUUUGGCGGUAUUUUAGUUUAUUUAGAGGAAUCUGUUUAAUAAUUGAUAAUCCACGAUUAAAUUUACUUAAUUUUUAAUUUUGUAUAUCGUUGUUAUAAAAAUAUUUUUUAAUAAUUAUAAUAUUUUAAAAUUUUAAUAAAAAAUUAAAUCAGAUCAAGAUGCAGAUUAUAAUUAAGAAUAUAAUGGAUUACAAUAAAAUUUAUUUUUGGAUAUUAUUUUGUAAGAAAUAAUUUAAAUUGGAUUUAAAUGUAAUUUUAUUAAUUUAAAUAAAAUGAUUUUUAAUUAAAAUAUGUACAUAUUGCCCGUCGCUUUCAUUUAUAAAUUGGAAUAAGUCGUAACAAAGUAGAAGUACUGGAAAGUGUUUCUAGAAAGAU